AGAAGCGGCACCCGGCAAUGGCAUGCAGAUCGACGAGGAUGCAUGGCAUGCAUGCAUCCUUCUACUUGGUGCUAGCGCUACACAUAGAAGCAGCUGCGGCGGGAGUGCAGCGGCGCUCGCAGAAGUUGACGAGGAUGUCGGCGCAGCGGUAGGCGUGCACGGGCGGGAUGUCGACGCCACCGUCGGCGGUGUACCUGAUGCACCGCUUGCACUCUGGGUGGCACCCGACCAUCGAGAAGUCCAGGCAUUGGCACUGCGGCGGGUAAGACAAUUUGCAGAAACCGCACUCGUUGCAGCACGGCCACGAGCUCGUUCCGGCGGCGUCCACGGCGGCGACUGCCGCCCCUCCGUCUUCCUCCUCCGUCCCUGCAUGCCGUGGCCGCCAUGCAGCAAAUAAGACAACGUGCAUAUGUGCGCGUAUACCUUACCAAGUGAUUCUUCUGUGGAAAAAAAGUUGAAGGAACAAAAAUCACUCACCUUUGCUGAGUGGCAGAGCUGCAAGGACGACGACGAUAACAGCCAGUGUGACGAGUAACACCCGAGGCCUCAUGGUCGCUUCUCUCCGCAACUUUGUUGCUUUAAUUUCCUCCUAGCUUCCUACUGUGUAGUAGUAUUGAUCGACGACGGAGACCGUAUGAGGCUCGAG
Molecule: unclassified non-coding RNA, 646 nt
Filed under: Zea mays
Lineage: Eukaryota; Viridiplantae; Streptophyta; Magnoliopsida; Poales; Poaceae
Description: misc RNA Zm00001eb165150
Source: RNAcentral